GAUGAACGCUGGCGGCGUGCCUAAUACAUGCAAGUCGAGCGAACAGACAAGGAGCUUGCUCCUUUGACGUUAGCGGCGGACGGGUGAGUAACACGUGGGUAACCUACCUAUAAGACUGGGAUAACUUCGGGAAACCGGAGCUAAUACCGGAUAAUAUUUCAAACCGCAUGGUUCGAUAGUGAAAGAUGGUUUUGCUAUCACUUAUAGAUGGACCCGCGCCGUAUUAGCUAGUUGGUAAGGUAACGGCUUACCAAGGCGACGAUACGUAGCCGACCUGAGAGGGUGAUCGGCCACACUGGAACUGAGACACGGUCCAGACUCCUACGGGAGGCAGCAGUAGGGAAUCUUCCGCAAUGGGCGAAAGCCUGACGGAGCAACGCCGCGUGAGUGAUGAAGGUCUUCGGAUCGUAAAACUCUGUUAUUAGGGAAGAACAUACGUGUAAGUAACUAUGCACGUCUUGACGGUACCUAAUCAGAAAGCCACGGCUAACUACGUGCCAGCAGCCGCGGUAAUACGUAGGUGGCAAGCGUUAUCCGGAAUUAUUGGGCGUAAAGCGCGCGUAGGCGGUUUUUUAAGUCUGAUGUGAAAGCCCACGGCUCAACCGUGGAGGGUCAUUGGAAACUGUAAAACUUGAGUGCAGAAGAUGAAAGUGGAAUUCCAUGUGUAGCGGUGAAAUGCGCAGAGAUAUGGAGGAACACCAGUGGCGAAGGCGACUUUCUGGUCUGUAACUGACGCUGAUGUGCGAAAGCGUGGGGAUCAAACAGGAUUAGAUACCCUGGUAGUCCACGCCGUAAACGAUGAGUGCUAAGUGUUAGGGGGUUUCCGCCCCUUAGUGCUGCAGCUAACGCAUUAAGCACUCCGCCUGGGGAGUACGACCGCAAGGUUGAAACUCAAAGGAAUUGACGGGGACCCGCACAAGCGGUGGAGCAUGUGGUUUAAUUCGAAGCGACGCGAAGAACCUUACCAAAUCUUGACAUCCUUUGACAACUCUAGAGAUAGAGCCUUCCCCUUCGGGGGACAAAGUGACAGGUGGUGCAUGGUUGUCGUCAGCUCGUGUCGUGAGAUGUUGGGUUAAGUCCCGCAACGAGCGCAACCCUUAAGCUUAGUUGCCAUCAUUAAGUUGGGCACUCUAAGUUGACUGCCGGUGACAAACCGGAGGAAGGUGGGGAUGACGUCAAAUCAUCAUGCCCCUUAUGAUUUGGGCUACACACGUGCUACAAUGGACAAUACAAAGGGCAGCGAAACCGCGAGGUCAAGCAAAUCCCAUAAAGUUGUUCUCAGUUCGGAUUGUAGUCUGCAACUCGACUACAUGAAGCUGGAAUCGCUAGUAAUCGCAGAUCAGCAUGCUACGGUGAAUACGUUCCCGGGUCU
Molecule: ribosomal RNA, 1372 nt
Filed under: uncultured bacterium
Lineage: Bacteria
Description: bacterial SSU rRNA
Rfam family: Bacterial small subunit ribosomal RNA
Source: RNAcentral